UAUAUAUUCAUUUCUUUAUCUCAUUAUUUCUCAAAUUUUUUGAUUCAUUUCAUUAAUAUAUCGUCCCUUAGGGCUUGCAUAAACAGGUUUGUAUGAUCUUUCACAUGUUAUCUUUAGUCACAUUUCACAUGUAUGUACAUAUAGUACCAUUUCAUAUCAUCAACUCAAUUCAACAUCAUUUAUCAAGUUCAUAUUUUAUAAUCCCUAUUAACCAGACUCUAACUAAAGAUGAAUACACAGAUCAUCCAACCAACACACCAAUCUGGCACCUCAGUGCAUCAUCGAAAGAACUGAA
RNAcentral lists this long non-coding RNA (295 nucleotides) under Gossypium barbadense (sea-island cotton). Its description in RNAcentral is "long non-coding RNA (GBAR_LNC022330)". The record is from RNAcentral. Lineage: Eukaryota; Viridiplantae; Streptophyta; Magnoliopsida; Malvales; Malvaceae.